AUUUAGUGAGGUAAAUAUUUAGUGAGGUAAAUAUUUGUGAGACUUUUUGAGAGAGCAUAUGGAAACAAUUUAUAACAUAUGUCCAUAAGCUGUUUCCAACUUAUUUUCUUAAACAGUCUAGGAUAGCUUAUUGUUUUUAUGAAAACAAUUAUACUUUAUUUUAUCUUUUGUUAUUGAAAUAGCAUAUACAUAUGCACUUAUAUAUAAUAACGCUUAUGCUAUAAGCACUUAAUUAAGCUUUUUAUUCAAACAAGGAUGUCUUUUUUGGCCCAUCAGUUUUGGUGCUUGCUUUGGGUAUUCUGAUUAAUCAUGUGCUCAUGUGAUUGCACAAUACAGUUAUCCCAUUUAGGUUUGGUUGAUACACCACGAACAGUGUAGCAACAGGUCUGUAAGAAUAGUUGUUGCUCCACUCAAUAUAUGAACAUAAUAUGUGUAUAGAUAUAAGAGUACAAUUAAGCCUAAAAAACAAUUGAGCAGCCUUACACAUUUGGUAUUGGAGUACAAUUAAGCCUAGAAAACAAUUGAGCAGCCUGACACAUUUGGUAUUGGAGUUCUUUUUUGACACAAAUUAUUAUAUGACUGUUGUGUGAUAGUUAGUUGGGUGUGAUGAACAUAUGAAGCCUAUAACUAUUCAUAUGCUUAAAUAAAGACCAUAGCAUAUACAUGUCACUGACUAUUAGUUGGGUGUGAUGAACAUAUGAAGCCAGGUUUGCAUUCUAAAUUGAAGCUUAUUUGCUUGUUUUGAAUUCUAUUAGGACAUAGAAGCUUAUUUGCUUAUUUACCUGCCUACUCCAGCGAAGAUGAUUCAAUCAUAGCAGAUGCACUUUGGAAGCAGAUCAAUGUUACCGGCGAUUCUUCAGAUUAUCUAUGGUAUUUGACAGAUGUCAGCAUUAGUUCUACUGAAGGUUUUAUAAAGAAUGGUCAAUCCCUACUCAUACCAUAAAUUCAGCAGGUCAUGUUCUGCAUGUUAUUGUUAAUGGUCAACUUUCAGGAACUGUGUAUGGAGGAUUGGAUACUAAAUUAACAUUUAGCAAGAGUUUUUUGUAUCUUCCUCUCUUGUGUACUGAAAUAUGAAAUAGAGGUCAGCCAAUAUGGAGUAAUAGUCUGAAAUUACCAGUGCACAACAUGAAGGGUAAUAAUAAGCUCUUCUUGAGGUUUAAAAUUAUCAUGCUUCAUAUCCCUUUGUAUUUUAGUUAUACUAGUUAAGAAGGGUAAUAUUUUAGUUAUACUUGAGUUAAGAAGGGUGAGGUUUAGGACUGGAAUAACAGAAUCUUUGUUUGGUUUGUGUGUGUUAAUUUCAGCUUGCUUGUUUGGUAUUAUGUCAAUUUCAUCUUCUAUGUUUUGGAUGUUUAUAGGUGGCUAUUUUUAUUAUGUUUAAGAGACUACAAUUAAUUGCAGCAAAAAAAAAAGCACAAAAAUUUUUAGUCAUUAAGUAGAAAAAAAAGAAAGAAAA
Trifolium pratense (red clover) is the source of this 1453-nucleotide long non-coding RNA. RefSeq lists it as uncharacterized. NCBI's taxonomy places the organism in Eukaryota, Viridiplantae, Streptophyta, Magnoliopsida, Fabales, Fabaceae. The record is from RefSeq and is a predicted model, not a curated record. The transcript is spliced from 3 exons.